GGAUAGCUCAGCUGGUUAGAGCAUGUGCUGAUAAGGCCAAGGUUGCAGGUUUGAUCCCUGUAUGGGACA
Molecule: non-coding RNA, 69 nt
Organism: Podarcis lilfordi (Lilford's wall lizard)
Lineage: Eukaryota; Metazoa; Chordata; Lepidosauria; Squamata; Lacertidae
Source: the annotation of a GenBank genome assembly